CAUGGUUAUAUUUUGUUUAUGAUGAUGAAACUUUGCAAUUCUAGAACCAAUAUUGUAUAUUAUUUAUUGUCCUGUUCGAAUCGUUGAUUUUUCCCUUUAAAGAUAUUUUUGAAGCGCUCAAAAACGUUGCUACUCUGUUCAAUAAUGAUAGCGUUAUUCGACGUUCGUGCAACUGAUCUCUUCGCCGCUGUAUCCAGUUACAAGUGCGGAAGUAAAUCAGAAUGAUCUCGUGAUGAGCCCAUCCCAUGCAUUUCAAUGAUGUGUACAUUACAAUACGAUUAAAGACAAAAUUGAAGAAAUAUUUCAAUAUAAAACUGUGACUUUACGUUGUGGAACGAAAUAAUAAGUGUGGAAAAGAAGAAAUAGUCGCUUUGGUCAUAUUUGAGGACGUCCAGGUUUGAUAGUUUCGGACAACGCGAAAACAUUCAAAGCUAGGUUACUUAAGGAUUUACGUAACAAUGAAGAAGAGCAUGGGUACUUAGCACAAAGCCACGUAGAAUGGAUCUUCAAUCUUAAAAAAUCCCAUUGGUGGGGUGGGUUUUUUGAGCGAAUGGUAGGGACAGUAAAGCGAGCGUUGAGGAAAGUUUAAGACAAGCAAAAUUGACUUACGACGAACUUCUCACAAAUUUGAUUGAAAUUGAAGGAAUUGUUAACUCACGACCGUUGACUUAUGACUACGACGAGACCGACGGAGAAGUAUUGACACCCUCACACUUG
This is a long non-coding RNA of Xenia sp. Carnegie-2017, 717 nucleotides long. RefSeq lists it as uncharacterized. The record is from RefSeq and is a predicted model, not a curated record. NCBI's taxonomy places the organism in Eukaryota, Metazoa, Cnidaria, Anthozoa, Malacalcyonacea, Xeniidae. The transcript has 3 exons.